RNAcentral lists this ribosomal RNA (757 nucleotides) under uncultured cyanobacterium. Its description in RNAcentral is "bacterial SSU rRNA". It matches the Rfam family "Bacterial small subunit ribosomal RNA", at positions 28 to 829 of the family's 1533-position model. The record is from RNAcentral. Lineage: Bacteria; Bacillati; Cyanobacteriota.
GAUGAACGCUGGCGGUCUGCUUAACACAUGCAAGUCGAACGCGAGUAGAAAUACUUGAGUGGCGGACGGGUGAGUAACGCGUGAGAAUCUGCCUUCUGGUCGGGGACAACCACUGGAAACGGUGGCUAAUACCGGAUAUGCCUACGGGUGAAAGAUUAAUUGCCAGAAGAAGAGCUCGCGUCUGAUUAGCUAGUUGGAGAGGUAAAGGCUCACCAAGGCAUCGAUCAGUAGCUGGUCUGAGAGGACGAUCAGCCACACUGGGACUGAGACACGGCCCAGACUCCUACGGGAGGCAGCAGUGGGGAAUUUUCCGCAAUGGGCGAAAGCCUGACGGAGCAAGACCGCGUGAGGGAGGAAGGCUCUUGGGUUGUAAACCCCUUUUGUCAGGGAAGAAGAAAGUGACGGUACCUGAAGAAUCAGCAUCGGCUAACUCCGUGCCAGCAGCCGCGGUAAUACGGAGGAUGCAAGCGUUAUCCGGAAUUAUUGGGCGUCAAGCGUCCGCAGGUGGUCAAUCAAGUCUGCUGUCAAAGCACGUGGCUUAACCACGAAAAGGCAGUGGAAACUGAAGGACUAGAGUGCUCAAGGGGUAGAGGGAAUUCUCGGUGUAGCGGUGAAAUGCGUAGAGAUCGGGAAGACAUCGGUGGCGAAAGCGCUCUACUGGAGAGCAACUGACACUCAGGGACGAAAGCUAGGGGAGCGAAAGGAUUAGAUACCCCUGUAGUCCUAGCCGUAAACGAUGGAUACUAGGCGUUGCCCG